CACCCACCAAAACAUAUUAUUUAAUACCAUUGAUAUAACACUUUGAUAAUUUUACACUUGUAAGUAUAUAUUUUUUAAGUACCAAAAUACUAGGAUUAAAUUAAUUUGUAUAUUCCUAACUACUGUUUAAACGUCAUUUUAGUUAGCGACUGUCACGUCACCCACCGUACUCAAGGUAGCGACUAUCACGUCACCCACCGUACUCAAGAAGAGAAUAGAUAUCACGGUACCUGAACCACGUGACUUUUUCGGCUAUGUGUGGGACAAUCGGAUGUAAACAAAACGUCGCUUCAGACUUGAAAAGGAUUAGUCGAAAGAUCUGUAACGCUUUUAAGGUUCGAAGCUGUGUAAGAACUACAUGAACACCAUCAAACCACACGGAAGGUGAUAUGUGGCAAGUUAAAAAUCAAAACCACGGUGACAGAGACAGGGACCCCGCUUCAUUCUGUGAUGUUUAUGGAAAGCUAUUUCAACUAACUACGCAAACAUACCAUUUAACAUGUAUUUUUGCAUAAGCAAAACAAAGUGUGUGUAUUGAUAUGUGUGUAUAUUUAUCGGUUUUGUAUCUAUGUUAUUACUAAAAUUGAUUAGAUGAAUAUAAAAUCUGAUAAUGUGUGUUAAUAAAACAGGUGUUUCAUAACAAAUAAUUUAAAUCCAAUGAUGCGUGUUUGUGGUCUAUUCCAAUAUCAUCUCCAUUUGAACAUCUUCGAAUCCAAUAAUGCUUGUUUGUGGUCUAUUCCAAUAUAAUCUCCAUGAAUAUCUUCAGUAUAUCAAAAUAAACACGUCAUUAAUAAUACCAUUACUUUAUAACUAGCAUGCACAUGUAACAAUAGAAAUUAAAGCGCCAAAUACAUAAAGAAGUACAUUAGUAUUCACAAAGAAAUUGUAAUCAGUCAAUUUAUGAAUUUGCAAAUCUUGCUAUUCAAACAUAUGAAUGCUUCAAUUAAGUCAUAACAAAUGAUCAUCGCCAAAACGUCUUGACUUGUGGGGGUCAUUAUGCCAACAAACAUAUUGAAUUGCAUCAAUACUUAAUUUACUCAAAUUCAAAUGAAAGCUGAAUAACUGACAAUAGUU
Molecule: long non-coding RNA, 1074 nt
Organism: Dreissena polymorpha
Lineage: Eukaryota; Metazoa; Mollusca; Bivalvia; Myida; Dreissenidae
Exons: 3
Source: RefSeq, a predicted model, not a curated record